This 950-nucleotide long non-coding RNA is filed under the name Chrysolophus pictus (golden pheasant). RNAcentral describes it as "lncRNA (ENSCPIG00010010572.1)". The record is from RNAcentral. Lineage: Eukaryota; Metazoa; Chordata; Aves; Galliformes; Phasianidae.
GUGUGGGGGGGUCCCUCUUGUCCCCGUUAUAGCCGAGAAGGUUUGGGGCAUGCAGGUGGCUGGGGUCUGUGGGGUUUUAUCCGAAGAGGUGACAUCUCCACGUUUUGGUGACGUGUGGGGGGGCCCCUCUUGUCCCCGUUAUAGCCGAGAAGGUGACCUCGCUGGGAAAGGCCUGGCACCGGCCCUGCCUACGCUGCGAGCGCUGCAGCAAGACGCUGACCCCCGGGGGCCACGCCGAGCACGACGGGCAGCCCUACUGCCACAAGCCCUGCUACGGGAUCCUCUUCGGGCCCAAGGGCGUCAAUACCGGAGCCGUGGGCAGCUACAUCUACGACAAAGACCCUGAGGCGAAGAACCAGCCCUAGGCAGGCGGCCCCAUCACCUCCCGCACCUACAAGUACCGGAGCAGCCCUCGGCCACGGAGCUGUGCUCUCUGCUGUCUCUAUAGAACCUCUAGGUUCUAUGCCAUAGUCCCUAAUAUAAGCUUCAGUGUUUAAAGGCAAAGGUAGAAGGUGUCUCUGCUCAUCCCCUGUGCGCUCUGCCCUCCCCAGGAUGGUUGGCUGGGAUGGUCACUGCUGUCCUAGUGUUCCACCCAUCCCGCAGCUUCAGGGGAUGCUGUGACACUAGUGACACGCGGUCCCCCAGUGGCUCAGCUCCCGCAUUCCCAUCCUCGCAUUCCCCCCUCCCCCCUCCCAGCUCACCCCAUUGUGAGGUCCAGCUGCUCCCCAUGUCCAGGGGGGCGGGGGGUCAGAGCGCACUGGGCCCAGAGCCCGAGGUUUCCCAUCGCGGUGUUUAUUUAUGAGCUGUUGUCAUUGUGCUCCCGGCUGUGGGGACACCCCUCGCCCCGUCCCUGUGCGCACGCUGCUUGCGCUGCCCACCCACCCGGCCGUGCGCUCCCCGGACUUUUGUUAUUUGCUGAUAAUAAAGGUUUUGAGAGAGGCGGUGUGUGC